AUACGGAGGGAGCAAGCGUUAUUCGGAAUCACUGGGCGUAAAGGACGCGUAGGCGGGUUUGUAAGUCAGGUGUGAAAUCCUACAGCUCAACUGUAGAACUGCACUUGAAACUACAGACCUAGAGUAUGGAAGGGGCAGAUGGAAUUAGUGGUGUAGGGGUAAAAUCCGUAGAUAUCACCAGGAAUACCGAAAGCGAAGGCGAUCUGCUGGGACAUUACUGACGCUGAGGCGUGAAAGCGUGGGGAGCAAACAGGAUUAGAAACCCGGGUAGUCC
Molecule: ribosomal RNA, 274 nt
Filed under: uncultured bacterium
Lineage: Bacteria
Description: partial 16S ribosomal RNA
Rfam family: Bacterial small subunit ribosomal RNA
Source: RNAcentral